AACGAACGCUGGCGGCAUGCCUAACACAUGCAAGUCGAACGAGACCUUCGGGUCUAGUGGCGCACGGGUGCGUCACGCGUGGGAACCUGCCCUUAGGUUCGGAAUAACUCCCCGAAAGGGGUGCUAAUACCGGAUAAUGUCUUCGGACCAAAGAUUUAUCGCCUUUGGAUGGGCCCGCGUUGGAUUAGCUAGUUGGUAGGGUCAAAGCCUACCAAGGCGACGAUUCAUAGCUGGUCUGAGAGGAUGAUCAGCAACACUGGGACUGAGACACGGCCCAGACUCCUACGGGAGGCAGCAGUGGGGAAUAUUGGACAAUGGGCGAAAGCCUGAUCCAGCAAUGCCGCGUGAGUGAUGAAGGCCUUAGGGUUGUAAAGCUCUUUUAACCGGGAUGAUAAUGACAGUACCGGGAGAAUAAGCUCCGGCUAACUCCGUG
Molecule: ribosomal RNA, 433 nt
Filed under: uncultured bacterium
Lineage: Bacteria
Description: partial 16S ribosomal RNA
Rfam family: Bacterial small subunit ribosomal RNA
Source: RNAcentral